GAUGAACGCUAGCGGCAGGCCUAACACAUGCAAGUCGAGGGAGAAGCCCUUUCGGGGGCAGAAACCGGCGUACGGGUGCGUAACGCGUAUGCAACCUACCUUUCACAGGGGGAUAGCCCGAAGAAAUUUGGAUUAAUACCCCAUAAUAUUAUUGGAAGGCAUCAUUUGAUAAUUAAAACUGCGGUGGUGAAAGAUGGGCAUGCGUCCUAUUAGCUAGUUGGAGUGGUAACGGCACCCCAAGGCUACGAUAGGUAGGGGUCCUGAGAGGGAGAUCCCCCACACUGGUACUGAGACAGGGACCAGACUCCUACGGGAGGCAGCAGUGAGGAAUAUUGGUCAAUGGUCGGAAGACUGAACCAGCCAUGCCGCGUGCAGGAAGAAUGCCUUAUGGGUUGUAAACUGCUUUUAUAUGGGAAGAAUAAGGCGUACGUGUACGUUGAUGACGGUACCAUAUGAAUAAGCAUCGGCA
This 469-nucleotide ribosomal RNA is filed under the name Capnocytophaga gingivalis. RNAcentral describes it as "bacterial SSU rRNA". It matches the Rfam family "Bacterial small subunit ribosomal RNA", at positions 28 to 498 of the family's 1533-position model. Lineage: Bacteria; Pseudomonadati; Bacteroidota; Flavobacteriia; Flavobacteriales; Flavobacteriaceae. The record is from RNAcentral.